RNAcentral lists this ribosomal RNA (417 nucleotides) under uncultured bacterium. RNAcentral's name for it is "bacterial SSU rRNA". It matches the Rfam family "Bacterial small subunit ribosomal RNA", at positions 361 to 776 of the family's 1533-position model. The record is from RNAcentral.
AUCUUCGGCAAUGGACGAAAGUCUGACCGAGCAACGCCGCGUGAGCGAAGAAGGCCUUCGGGUUGUAAAGCUCUGUCAUGAGGGAAGAACGGCUCGGGUGGCCCCGAGUAUGACGGUACCUCAGGAGGAAGCCCCGGCUAACUACGUGCCAGCAGCCGCGGUAAUACGUAGGGGGCAAGCGUUGUCCGGAAUGAUUGGGCGUAAAGCGCGCGCAGGUGGUGAUUUAAGUCUGAUGUGAAAGCCCACGGCUCAACCGUGGAGGGUCAGUGGAAACUGGAUCACUUGAGUGCAGGAGAGGAAAGUGGAAUUCCACGUGUAGCGGUGAAAUGCGUAGAGAUGUGGAGGAACACCAGUGGCGAAGGCGACUUUCUGGCCUGUAACUGACACUGAGGCGCGAAAGCGUGGGGAGCAAACAGG